AUUCUAUUAAAAUGUAUCCUGAUCUCCUAAGGCCUCCAAAUCUCAACGACACAGAGUAAAUUUCCCAAUUGGUAAAUAGUUUCUGGCACCCAACUUGAGGGAGAUGAGAAACCCCACUAACUGCAGAACAUGCAGACAAGAUCCCGAAGCAACGGACUUAAAAGAGUGGCGAAAGGCGCUGUGUUCACCUAUUUUGAAUUGCAAUUGACCAAAGCAAAUGAAGUCACACAGGAGG
This is a long non-coding RNA of Tupaia belangeri chinensis (Chinese tree shrew), 235 nucleotides long. RefSeq lists it as uncharacterized. NCBI's taxonomy places the organism in Eukaryota, Metazoa, Chordata, Mammalia, Scandentia, Tupaiidae. The record is from RefSeq and is a predicted model, not a curated record. The transcript has 3 exons.